RNAcentral lists this ribosomal RNA (783 nucleotides) under Listeria monocytogenes. RNAcentral describes it as "bacterial SSU rRNA". It matches the Rfam family "Bacterial small subunit ribosomal RNA", at positions 1 to 759 of the family's 1533-position model. The record is from RNAcentral. Lineage: Bacteria; Bacillati; Bacillota; Bacilli; Caryophanales; Listeriaceae.
UUAUGAGAGUUUGAUCCUGGCUCAGGACGAACGCUGGCGGCGUGCCUAAUACAUGCAAGUCGAACGCUUUUUCUUUCACCGGAGCUUGCUCCACCGAAAGAAAAAGAGUGGCGAACGGGUGAGUAACACGUGGGUAACCUGCCCAUCAGAAGGGGAUAACACUUGGAAACAGGUGCUAAUACCGUAUAACACUAUUUUCCGCAUGGAAGAAAGUUGAAAGGCGCUUUUGCGUCACUGAUGGAUGGACCCGCGGUGCAUUAGCUAGUUGGUGAGGUAACGGCUCACCAAGGCAACGAUGCAUAGCCGACCUGAGAGGGUGAUCGGCCACACUGGGACUGAGACACGGCCCAGACUCCUACGGGAGGCAGCAGUAGGGAAUCUUCGGCAAUGGACGAAAGUCUGACCGAGCAACGCCGCGUGAGUGAAGAAGGUUUUCGGAUCGUAAAACUCUGUUGUUAGAGAAGAACAAGGACGUUAGUAACUGAACGUCCCCUGACGGUAUCUAACCAGAAAGCCACGGCUAACUACGUGCCAGCAGCCGCGGUAAUACGUAGGUGGCAAGCGUUGUCCGGAUUUAUUGGGCGUAAAGCGAGCGCAGGCGGUUUCUUAAGUCUGAUGUGAAAGCCCCCGGCUCAACCGGGGAGGGUCAUUGGAAACUGGGAGACUUGAGUGCAGAAGAGGAGAGUGGAAUUCCAUGUGUAGCGGUGAAAUGCGUAGAUAUAUGGAGGAACACCAGUGGCGAAGGCGGCUCUCUGGUCUGUAACUGACGCUGAGGCUCGAAAG